UGCAGGUGUUUGAGCAGGUGAAUCAG
Molecule: non-coding RNA, 26 nt
Filed under: Mus musculus (house mouse)
Lineage: Eukaryota; Metazoa; Chordata; Mammalia; Rodentia; Muridae
Source: RNAcentral